AUGACGCCGAUGUCAGGAUCAGCAUCUAUGCUUGCGACCGCGUCCGUCAUGACCCGCAAUGCUCACCUGGGACACUUGAGCCGGCGGUCGCAAGGAAAAAAAGCAUCGGCGCCCUUGUCUGCCCCAGGUGCGAGCUUGUUCGUCGCCAUGAGCAGCUGCGAGUCUGCGACCUCGUCGGCUACCGCCAGCACCCAGGACAAGGAGCAGACAGAUUUUUCUUUACAACCUGCCUUCUUCUGCAUGGAAUUUGUGUUCACUUUAUGGCUGGUCGUUGGGGUGCUGGAUGAUGCGCAGGCGCAGGUGAACGAUGCCUUCUAUGAUCCAACAAUAUAUCAAAGAUUUUUGCAAGAUAGUUAG
This 357-nucleotide ribosomal RNA is filed under the name Triticum aestivum (bread wheat). RNAcentral's name for it is "partial small subunit ribosomal RNA". The record is from RNAcentral. Lineage: Eukaryota; Viridiplantae; Streptophyta; Magnoliopsida; Poales; Poaceae.